AGCGAACGCUGGCGGCAGGCUUAACACAUGCAAGUCGAGCGGACCUUUCGGGGUCAGCGGCGGACGGGUGAGUAACGCGUGGGAACGUGCCUUCCGGUUCGGAAUAACCCUGGGAAACUAGGGCUAAUACCGGAUACGCCCUUAUGGGGAAAGGUUUACUGCCGGAAGAUCGGCCCGCGUCUGAUUAGCUAGUUGGUGGGGUAACGGCCUACCAAGGCGACGAUCAGUAGCUGGUCUGAGAGGAUGAUCAGCCACACUGGGACUGAGACACGGCCCAGACUCCUACGGGAGGCAGCAGCGGGGAAUAUUGGACAAUGGGCGCAAGCCUGAUCCAGCCAUGCCGCGUGAGUGAUGAAGGCCUUAGGGUUGUAAAGCUCUUUUAUCCGGGACGAUAAUGACGGUACCGGAGGAAUAAGCCCCGGCUAACUUCGUG
This 433-nucleotide ribosomal RNA is filed under the name uncultured bacterium. Its description in RNAcentral is "partial 16S ribosomal RNA". It matches the Rfam family "Bacterial small subunit ribosomal RNA", at positions 29 to 507 of the family's 1533-position model. The record is from RNAcentral.